CAGUAGCCGCGGUAAUACGGAGGGAGCUAGCGUUGUUCGGAAUUACUGGGCGUAAAGCGCACGUAGGCGGCUAUUCAAGUCAGGGGUGAAAGCCCGGGGCUCAACCCCGGAACUGCCUUUGAAACUAGAUAGCUUGAAUCUUGGAGAGGCGAGUGGAAUUCCGAGUGUAGAGGUGAAAUUCGUAGAUAUUCGGAAGAACACCAGUGGCGAAGGCGACUCGCUGGACAAGUAUUGACGCUGAGGUGCGAAAGCGUGGGGAGCAAACAGGAUUAGAGACCCCAGUAGUCCCUGUCUCUUAUAA
This 301-nucleotide ribosomal RNA is filed under the name uncultured bacterium. Its description in RNAcentral is "partial 16S ribosomal RNA". It matches the Rfam family "Bacterial small subunit ribosomal RNA", at positions 509 to 809 of the family's 1533-position model. The record is from RNAcentral.